Molecule: non-coding RNA, 73 nt
Organism: Parelaphostrongylus tenuis
Lineage: Eukaryota; Metazoa; Nematoda; Chromadorea; Rhabditida; Metastrongylidae
Source: the annotation of a GenBank genome assembly
GCUUCGGUGGUGCAGUGGUAGAGCACGCCUCUCCGGAUAAGGUGAAACGUGGGUUCGAUUCCCGCCUGAGGCG